UUUUUUUUUUUUUUUGUCAGUCACGAUACAUUUGUAUAACUUACUCUAUUCUAAUUUAGGGGGAGGGGAAGCCUAAAGAGGCUGUGGUAGGAGCUAGUGGGUAUACAGAUCCAACUAGAUCAAGGGAGUGCUAUGGCACAACCCUUAAAUUUUUUUCGCUGCAGACGAAAUUUGAACCAUCACCUAUAAUUCAAGGAGGGAUUUAAGUGCCUCCUUGCUCUUUGGUGGCUCAGUGGUUCUUUCGAGUCAUCUUCCUGGCGUCUAAAACUCGAACCUUUUUUUUUUUUUUUGUUAGCCAAAUACUAUAUAAGGAAAAGAAAAGUACACCUGGAGCUGCUUUUAAAAGCGCCCUUGGCUCCCACUAUGGUACAAAAAAAAGGUUCUCUUCCCGUACCAGCCACAGCAAACAAAUGAAAUGAUACACUUUACUAGUUUGUUUAGUUUAUCUACAUAAAAAGUUAAAACAACAAAAUGAAAUCGAGGAGGAAGGACAUGAACAGAAAAAGCUUUCAGCACAAAAGCUUGGGGCGGGCAUCUUAGAAUUUCUUCAAAUGCACUCCAACGUUUCUGAUUGAUUGGAGGAGCUAUGAAAGUCAUAACAAAUAUAUUAAUGUUGGCGAGCUGUCAAGUGUGUUUUUUUUUGAAAAAAUUACUAUGUUUUCUGUAAACACAUUUUCAAUCAUCAAUCAUCUUUUGGUUGUGUUUGAAUUGCAUUUUCUGUCAUUUUUCAUGGAAAAAUUACUGUAGCAAUUUGAUAUGUGUGAGGGAAAAAGGUGAUAGGAAAAUGUGAUCACGGAAAACGAUAAUAUUUUUCGACGGAAACGAGCAAUCCAAACAAGGCCUUUUUAUCUCACGAAUAUCAACCCGUUACCGUAAUUUUUUUUUUUUUUAAAAAAAAUGCAAUCCAAACAAGAAGUUACUGAAUUUCAGCCUUUUUACUAGCCUAAUCGCAUAUUUAGCUGGCAUUAUCAGCUAUCCCUCCCAGACACAAAAGAGAAAGUAGAUUAUAGCCUUUUAAGCUGCUGAAAUGUAAUCAAGCUUUGCUUACUAAUUGGCGAUUUAUCAAGUUCAGCUCACAUGAGCUUUGAUUAAUCGCACUUAAGAGCUUGAGUUUUAGCCUUUGAUAAAACUUUUUUGGUUUUACAAGAAACUUUACAACGCUCGCUUAAACUUAAAAAGGAAUUCGUAAAUGAAAUAUUUCAGAAAUCUUUUUAUUGUGUUAAUUAAAAGCUAUUAAUCUAAAAAUUGAGAAAAAACUUUACAAUCUAAAAAUAGUCACUCGUCACCACAAUUUCAAACAUAUUCCAUCACCCUGAAGAUAGUUGGCUUUGUAAAUGGGAAAUGUUAUAAUUUGCACUUCACUUUUUUUUUAUUUUUUAUAAUAACACUUUUAUUAUCUUUUUUUUUUAAAUUGUAUUGUAUAAUAAAUGAAGACCAUGUAAUAUAAAUGAUAUUGCAAGUGUCAUAAAAAAUUACAUUUUGCUUCUUAGUUUUGUAUGAGGGAAAAUAGAGCUGUAAAAAAAAAAAAGAUUUGCCACCCGGGGAAAGACGGGGAGAGGGCCGGGGGGGUGGACAGGGGACUUUUAUUUUAUUUUAUUUUUUAAAUUCAUGUGCCCAUGAGACAAUAGACAAUCCAAAACAAGGCCCGUUAGAUGCACCUUUUAUUUUGGAGAAGGCCCGUUGGAUAGCAACAGACACAGCUGGGCCUGAGUCUUCUUGGGCUUUUCCUCGAAUUCUCACGAAAUCCAAAUUCCCCCAGACUUUCUCCGAAGCUCGACUCCGCAGUCACAGAAGCCGGGAAGCUAGAGCCGAUGGCAAGGAAGGAUCGGCCGGCGAAGAAACAAACAGCUGCAUCUAGGAAGCCGAACGGAGGAGAUAAACCGUUGAGAGGAGCCGAGAGGUCGGCUUACUUCGCCAGGAGGGAGGCGGCUAAGGUCUUGCGCACCGUGCUUGAAGGGGACGCCCGCCGGCGAGCUGUGGGGUCCAUUAAGUCACUGGUUUAUAGCCCUUCCAUCAGGAACAAAAGAGCCACCUUUGCUUUGGUUUGUGAAACCCUCAAGCGUAAGUCAGCAACCAGCACUGCUUUUCAUUAUGCCCUCCCAGUUUUCAUUUUUCUAAUCCUACUGAUGAAAUUUGAAUAUGGGAUUUGUCUUCGUCCUAUUAAAUUUCUGCAGCAGAAAUGGGUAUUUAUGGGAUUAGUCUAAUUAUGCUGAAAGCUUGAAUUUUUUUCCCUGUAGAUUUUAGAAAGACAUUAGCUUGAUCUUAUCUUCUUUAAGUGAUAAAUGAGUUGGCAUACAUGUUUUUGACUAUAGUUAGUCUAACAAUGAUUCCUUGUGGUUUAAGAUUUGUAUAGACAUUUUCACGUGCUACUGCCUCUCGUAUGAUAAGUAACAAGUGCGUAUUAUCUACCCGCAUAAAUGGAUGCACUUAUUACUUUUCAUGUAAUGGGUUGGUUAUAUCAUAUGUUAGUGCUAGUGUAGCUAAAAUCACUUCUUGUUUAAAAGUGAGACUAAAUGGUUUCGGAUAUUGCCUAGGAGAAAAGUUCAAAAGCAAAAAAGAAAAGUUGGAUUUUAGUUAUUGGACAAUUGGAUGAAACUUUUAUCAGAAAUACACUGUUUAUAGAUCUGGAAUUUUUAUCUUCACUGUUUUCAGGUGCAUGAUAAAAUAGCGAUCAACCUAUAUUUUCACUUGAAGUGGCCACAAUACUAUUAACCUGAGAGGGCAAAUGUUGUAGACUGAGCCCUUCACUAUCCUGAGAAUUUAGAAUCUGAGUAAUACGCUGUAGCUGGAUUUAUAGUGUUGACAUAUAGCAUUAGUGUCCUUCAUCUUGGUUAAGUUUAAUGACUGCUUAAUUUGUAGAUUUUCAUUAAGUAGAUAUAUUGGAUUGUGUAUUGGUUUGCGGUCAACUUCUCUAAGGGAUCAAGGCUUAAGUUUGUAAGAGGCAACACGCAUCUGAUGGAUGUGGCAAUUGAAUCCAUUUUGUGAACUAGAUCUCAUAGGAUGGUAAACUCUGUUUUCGAAUGUUGGGAACUAGGGAAAAAGGUUCCUUACAGAUAUAAAUCCAUUACUUUUGAAAGGAAACUUUAUUGUGCCUAAUUGUGUGAGAUAAAUUUAUUUCUGACUGGAUUUGUUCUUGAAUAGAUCUCCCAGUUAUCAAAGAUGUUUUGCGAGCCACUAAUGUAUUGAAUAGCAAGUGGAAGGUAUGUGAAGCUUUUCUACUGGUCAUACUUAAUAUUUAUAAUAAUAGGGUUGCAGUUCAUUAAGCGUCCUCUCCCAUCUGGCACCGUUUCUAAAAAUAGUUUGUAGCACAAUGACAAAUGUAACUGAAACUAAAAAUUGGUUUUGCAGAGACAAGAAGAGUUACUAUGUGUAAUUGCAUAUGAUAUCCUCUUUGGUAAGGUAGGUAUUGAGUAAGAUUAUUCUUUUUCUUGUUUCCAAUGGAGAAUAGGCAUGUCUGCUGUUGCCCUUUUUCCACGUCCAUGCAUUUUUCACAUCUACAUGGAAUCUCUCUGCUUCCUACAUUCUGCUCCUAAAUUACAUUUUUCUGCUUCCCUAAUUUGUAGAUCAUUUUUCUCUCCAUAGGAGUCUUCAGCAACUGGGGAUGCAGAAAAGCUUCUCUUGUCCAGGAAAGAUAAAUUACGGUCAGCUUUGGUUCAUCUUUUAGAGAAAAAGAGAGUGAAGCACAUAAAAGAAUUGAUGCCUCAAUGCAAAAUAUCUGGUGUGUAUUUUGACUGCGUUUCUUCCUGUGCUAACUCUCUGUUUUAUUGAGAUGCAUGCUACUUUCCACGUGUUUUAGGUGAAACAACAGAUGUAAAAGUCAGUUAUUAACAAGCAAUGAAUAUGCUUCUACUGCAAAAUUAUUUUUGUUGAUUUAUACUUAUAAAGAAAGGAAAAAAGGGGUUUAUGGCUGAUCUUUUCUGCAAACAAUUACCAUCUAAAUAUGAACAUCUUACUUGUGGUUAAAUGACGUUGUUUUAUUAUGUCAAAAUUAGAAAUGACGGAUACAUUUUCUUGAGCUAUGCUAUGACAUUAAUUUCUUCUUGUUUGACGCCUGUCUGAAUUUUUUUGGAAAUGUUGGCUGCAGAUAUGCCAAAACCACGUUAUGUUCGUGUAAAUACUCUGAAAAUGGAUGUGGAGUCUGCUAUACUUGAGUUGACUAAACAGUAUGCGGUAAAAUCUUCAACUUAACCGAGUUAAUGAUUUUUCCAUGUUACUUUUCUUUUUUAGCUUCUGAUCUGGGGUUUGGUGCAAGUUUAUAGGUGUCAUAUUGAGCGUGAUAUUUGCAUUACAACUUGGGUUCAAUAGCAUGCAUGCUAAUGCUAGAAAUGAAUUUAUAUUUGAACUUCACGUCUCUGGUAUUGAAAUAAAAAUGUGGAAAGAUCCAAAAACGUAUCGCGGAAGUAUCGUAUCAGAAUUUUAGAGAAAGAAUCAUUUUCUUUACGGUCCUUACAAAAUAUAUUUUCUGCUAGUCUUUUGAUCUAUUGACUAAAAUGUAUAGGUUGACAAGGAUGACAUGGUACCUGGUUUGCUAAAGCUACCACCAAGUACUGAUUUGCAUAAACAUCCAUUGGUAUUAAAUGGAAGUAUUUUUAUGCAGGUAAGGCUUAGCUUCAUCGGUCUUACCUCAUUAAAUAUAAAAAUUUUCUAGGAGACAUAUAUCUUAACUGCUCUUUCACUGAGUCAAGCUGGUAUUCUCCUUUUCUAUGGAUACUAGGGCAGAGCAAGUUCCAUGGUUGCAGCAGCACUCGAGCCUAAACCAGGAUGGUGGGUGAGUUUACUCAGCACUGAAGAGUUAAUUCCUUCAGAUGUAUGCAUGUGCAAUUGCUUUGAUUUUUUUCGAAGCCUUGAUUCUCAUUUCUCUUUUUUGCAUUAUGAAUUUUGCUUGAUAAUGGUGAAGGUUCUUGAUGCAUGCUCUGCACCUGGAAACAAAACUGUUCAUCUAGCUGCUAUUAUGAAGGGAAAGGGGAAAAUAAUAGCUUGUGAACUUGAUAAGCAGAGAGUAAAACGAUUAGAAGCUACCGUCAGACUUGCUGGUGCUACCAGUAUCCUUUAAAUGGUUUUUCAUAUUCUCCAUCUGGCCUGGCAUUUAGCAAAUGGAAAGCCAGCUUGGCAGUUGUGCUUGUUUUUGUGUUGUAUUCUCCUUAAAUUGCUUCUCUCCAAAACUUCACAUUUUAAAAUGGAAUUGGAACUGAUGUUCAUUGCGAGUGACUCAUUUUUUUCAUUACUUAAUAUUCACAUUUACAAAACUUAACUUGGCCCAGAUGUCAAAGUUAAACAUGAAGACUUCUUGAAAUUGAAUCCUGAAGAGCCUCAUUGCUCAAAGGUAAUUGUUAUUCUUUUCUUUGUACUUUUGCACAAAUAUACGUACCUGAUACUGAAGGAAUGGACAUUCUUAUUGAAUUAACUGGACAUCUAGUCUUCUAUUUGUUGUAUGAUAUGCCGAAAUUCAAUUCUGUUUUCUCCACCAGAUAUUUGUAGUUUGUAUGUUUUUGUUUCUUAUCUCUACAUCUGCUGUAUUGCUUCAAAAUGGGUUUGUCGUUUGAUUGUUGACUGUAUUGCAGAUUCGAGCCAUACUUUUAGAUCCAUCAUGUUCAGGAUCUGGUACUGCCAUUGACAGGCUAGAUCAUCUGCUUCCAUCAUAUGCUGCAGGUAAGCAAGCGGCUGAGCUCAUACUCAGCUACUGGCUAUUUUCUUUCUGCAUUCCUCUCUUUCUUGUGUAUUAAGCUAUAUUUGAAAGGAAAAACAAUUAAACCCCCAUUGCGUGCUUCUCCCCCGUUGGCAUUUUGUUUCCCAGGAUCUUGAGUUUAUUAUCAAAUUUCAAGGAAUAUAGGAUUGUCCGUAACUAUUAUUUUAUUCUUGUUGCCUCAAAUUUAUGCUACCCUUUACCCAGAGUAUUUUGGUUGUUAGUCCAAAGGAUGCGGGUAUGUUUGGUUAGCAGAUAAUAUCUGUGUCUCUUAGCUCUAGUUUACAUGUCAGUUUUCUUUAGAUCUUUGUGCUUAUUCUGCGCAGAGAAUUACUCUGGCUUUUCUACAAGUGCAUUCAUGCUAUAUUAUACCUCACGCUUACCUCUUCCUUUACAAGUAUUAGAUGAUACUGGCAACAGUGAUAGGCUGAUGAAGCUUGCUGCUUUUCAGAAGAAGGCUUUGGAACAUGCAUUUUCAUGUAAGUUCUUGUUCAGCUACAUCCUGCACUCCAAUUCACCUUGCAUACUCGUACUCUUCAAGGUCGGCUAUUCCCAUCAAAACUUCCAAGAGAGUCCUAAAAAUUUUGGGCCAACAUUCUUGGCAGAUGCUAUUAAGUGCAUUUUGCAAUGCAUCUACAAUUGGCAUUCAGCCACUUUUAGUUAUGUAUUCCAUGCCAUUCUGCUGGAUGAUGAUGGCAUCGUUUUACAUUUUUCCAGUUCCAGCAGCCGAGAGAAUUGUUUACAGCACAUGUUCCAUCCACCAGAUUGAAAAUGAAGACGUUGUCAAAUCUGUUUUACCCCUUGCAGCAUCUCAUGGUUUUCAACUUGCACCAGUUCAUCCCCAGUGGCCUCGGCGUGGCCUCCCAGUUCUUGAUGGAUGUAAGUGCUUGAAGUCCAAUUUUUCUCCAUAAGAUACACACUGGUUGAGCUUUGUGGGUGGCAACUUUUCUGAUAAAUGAAUGGAAACCUUGAAGUUGAGCAUAUGAUUGUCAUAUUAAUAUAAACUAUCACCUGCUAAUUCCUAUCUUCUAAUCGGUUCAUCUGGCAGCUCAACAUUUGCUGCGGACCGACUUGGUGGAAGACGGAGAGGGGUUCUUCAUUGCACUGUUUGUACGAAAAGCAGAUAAAAGACCUGAAGGAUAUGCAGAAAGGGAAACUUGCGAAAGAUACAGGAGCAAGAGAUUUUUGAGGAAGAAGAUGGACUUUGUAAAUUAUUUCUUUAACAACAGGUUCAGAAUGUUGUUAUAUCCUCAAUUUCGCUUCAAGAAACAGAGAUAAUGCAUUAGACUUGUGACAUGCUACACUCAUUGUAUACAUCUCUCUUUGCCUUUCUCUUCUAAUUAUUAUUUUUUCAUUGUCUUCAAUCCUCCUUCAGCUGUAAAUAGACUGCUCCAAGAAUUGCAUCUUUCCUUGGCCUUUUUUUUUUUUUUUGGGGAGAAUUUCAAAACGCCACAAGACUUUCCAUUAUUAUCAUUAUUAUUGUUUUAAAAUUUGCAUAAUUUUAAUUUCGGUCACCACCGUGGACGCAAGGCUUUCUUCCUUUGAUUCCUUUCCAUGAUAUGCUGCAGUAGAUUGAAGAAUGUAUUUGUUUUUUGAGGCAAAAUUUGAAGAAUAUAUUUAUCUAGCCCAAAAUAAUAAUACUGAAAGUAAUCAAUAACAUCCAAAGAUCAAAUUCAUUGCGGCCCCCAAAAUAUUUGGAAACUCAAAAACUCUUCUCAUUCAUACUUUCAUAGUAGAGCAGUAGAUAAGUAAAAUCAUACUUCCAUACAUCAUGGUACUACACAGAAAAGAAGGCCAUCGCCUUCUGCACAGAGCCAAACUCAGGAAAAUUCCCAGAAAAUCAUUAGAGCAUCAGCAUAAAUCCAUAAAACUCCUCCUACCCGCAUUUAUUUUCCGAUCCCAUCAUCAAGACCCAAAACAGAGCAUAUAUGCUAGUACUAAAGAAAAGCAAUACAACCAACCAAAAUGCACACAAAUUUUUUCAAGCAAUCUGGACCUGAAUUGUCUUGGCCUUCUUGGGUUCAGGAGGGGGCAAUUUCUGAACGGUAACAGUCAGCACACCAUCUUGACACACCGCAGAAAUUGCGUCGGUAUUGGCAUUCUCCGGCAGCGCAAACUUCCUCAUGAACUUGCCGACCCUCCUCUCCAUCCUCACGUACUUGGCCCCUUCUUUCUCCUCUUCCCUCUUCCUCUCUCCGCUGAUAAUCAGCACAUUGUCUUCCUCCACCUGAACCUUGAUGUCCCCCGACUUCAACCCCGGCAUAUCCACAAUGAACGCGUAGGAAUUGGGAUAUUCCUUGACGUCAGCCGGAGUGGAAGCCAUUGCCUUAGCAUCUCGAACGAAGGUCCUCGACGGAGCGUUGACGGUCUUGUCUGCAUCGUCCGCGGCGUCCAUCAUGUGCUGGAUGGUUUGGAAGAGUGGGGUAUCCCAUCCCAUUAGCCUCACGUCCAUUUUUCUCUUCUUGAUUUGGGAUAUUUUCGAUGAGAUAUUUGCCUCUUUUCACUUUUUCUAUGAUCUGAAAAUUGCUGUAAUCUCGAUGAGAAGGGAAUGGAGAGGAAGUGAGUAUAUAUCGAGGUGGGAGAAGAACUUCAGUUUGGAAGUUUUGUGGAGGGGGGAGGGAAAAGAAGGAAGGCGCGGAAAGUUUCUGGUAAGUUCUUUUAUUCGCUGGUUCUUUCUACUAGUUUCUGAGUUCGACUUCUACACUGAUCCAGAACGCGGCGGAAACCACUAGAAGAAAAACUCUGGUUGACUUUUCUCUUUUGUACCCUUUCUCUUUGAAUUUUUCUCCUCUUGUUGUCUUAUUUGGAAUCCAUUUGGGCCGCAUUUUGUUAAAAUACUGUCAAAUUUCUCUAAUUAUUUAAAUUAUUUAAGAGGUAUUUAAAUUUAUAAAGUAUUAAUUUAUUUUAAUUUUAUACAUAUAUUUAGAUAAUUGGUGAAUUAUAUGCCCAAAUGUCUCUUAAAUAAUUCAAGCAAUUGGAACAAUUUGGGUGGAUUUCAAAUGUUUCAUUAGAUUCUUCAAUCCAAACGAAACAGUACGAGGACAUAAUAUUGGAGGAAAAAUUUGUGAAUAUUAUGCGCUAGAAAUUUGUACAACAUGUACUGUUACAAGGAUAAACCAAAAAAAGAAAGAAAAAUUGUACAUAUUGCAAAAGUUUGUACAAAUAUAGGAGACGAAUUUUCACUAUUUUGGCGACCAAAAUUCUUCAAUAUUUUUCAGUCAUCUAAUGACUAUAUGUUGAAGAUAUUGCUGAAGAAAUUUUAAAAUUUUCUUUUUUAAUUUUUGGUUUUUUAAUUGUGGAUCAAAUGAAGGAAUUCUGACUACUUCUGGUUCAAAGGUUCUAACAUUCUACACAAAAUAAAUACCAAAAUUUAAGAGUGACUUCACCGCUUAAUCCACUUUUUUUUUUUUUGCUUUCAGUUCUAUAUUAAACUUUGAGACAAAUUUAACAUAAAAUUUUUAACAAUCAAUAAUCAUAAACUAAAUAGAGAAUAAAUUGGCAAUGCAAUUCAUAAUUUCAUAUUUCAAAAAUAUAAAUGCAAAAUCUUUAGAACUUGACUCUGCUCUUUGGCCUAUCUAAAUUGUACGUUAAUAAAUACCUACUUGAAACUUCCUAGGACUUGAUAAUCAAGAAACGACUAAACAACAAACCCCCACAUACAAUGCCUAAUCGAUAAAUUAUGAAUCUACUAAUUAAAUCUUAAUGAUAAACUUCUAAAACUUCAUUUUUUAAGCGAAGUAAUUUUACUAAUAACCUACUUUGUAUAGGAAACAAAUUCUCUUUUCCUUCUUAGUUUGGGAAUCGAAUUUCCAGAGGUAAACACUAUAUAUAUGUACAUGCAGGUUAAUGUUCAUGAUUUCUUGCGUGUAUGCUGUCUUGACAAUGGACUCCCUAACAACUCCUCUAACAAAUUUGGGAGAAUACAAUCAAUUUGUGCAGCACUACUUUUGCCAUUCUUUCGCUACAAUCCAGAAACAUAAACUCGACGAGGGAAACAAAAUUCCGAUGCCUGCUUCGGCUUUAGAUUGCCUUUCUGCUCUCAGGAUUCAUUACCCCAUGAUGUUUUCUAUACAAAAUAUUUAUGACGAUUCUGGUGGCCGCACUUCUCAUUGUGGAGUCUUGGAGUUCACAGCCGAAGAGGGCUCAAUCUUCGCUCCACAGUGGAUGAUGGACAGCUUGAAGAUCCUCGAAGGAGACCUCGUACUCCUCAAGAGCGUCUAUCUUCCUAAGGGUACUUUCGUGAAGUUGCAGCCGCAUACAACUGAUUUCAUCAAUCUUUCCAAUCCUAAAGCUGUUUUGGAGAAAACCCUCCAAAGAUAUGCUUGUUUGACAACCGGAGACACGAUCACAAUCUCUCACGAUAAGAAGAAGUUUCAGAUUGACGUACUUGAGGCCGAACCAAGCCCUGCAAUUAGUAUCAUUGACACGGAUUGUGAGGUAGAUUUUGCGGCUCCUUUGGAUUACAAGGAACCUGAGAAGAAAGCCUCGCAGAAGGCUGAAGAGGAGAAGCCUAAGUUUGUAGCGUUUUCAGGCUUAGCAAGGCGAGUAGAUGGGGCGCCGCUGGCACAUAUGUCCGAUAUGGUAGCAGAAAAACUGGAGAAGAAUGUGAUCAGUAAAAAGAAUUCAACGAAAACCUGUGACUGUGAAGGACCAGGAAAGAAGAUGGUGUUUGGUUCGAACACGAUCAAUGAGGAAACCCCAAACAAAUAUGACGUCAAGAAGGAAGAAGUGAAUAAAUUUGAACCGUUCACGGGAAGGAAAAAUGUUACAGGUUCAGGAUAAAUAAUUUUAUUUUUUUGGUUUGUUCCACUUUGUGGUUUUCUAUAUUGUGGCCUUUGCGACUAAGACUUACUCUUGUAAAUCAAUCGUUGCCAUGCUUGAACGAAUAACAUCUUUGUGCACCACUGAUUUCAAGCCUCCGGGGUUUAAUUUCCUUGAGCAAUUACCUUAGAAAGUAAUUAAAAUCGUACGUAAUUUUGGAUGAUUGAGCCGUAACCUUUUCAUGAAUACUGGGCAGUCCAGAUUCAAGAAAGGCUAGUAUAAGUGUAUAACGCCUCCAGAGUCCAGAUACAGUUGCAAUUCCAAGUUGCGCAAUAUGCUAAGCAGCUAGGCCUAUUAAUUUUCCUCCAAGAGGAGCAAAAUUUGGAAGUGGUAUUGUAAUUAUACCAUGCAUGCUUUCAAUUACCUUCCUCCAUCUUUUCUUCUUUUUAAAUUAACGUAUGCAGACCACGGAAGAAACCGCCAUCGCUGCAGCCGCUGUUCUGGCUGAUUAUUUGACAAGAUUGGCAUUGGAAAUGGUAAUGGUAAUGAUUGGCAUUGGUUUGAUCUGCAACAAGGCUAAUGUUGGGUCUAUGAGGAUGACAAGGCUCUGCCCUAAACAGGCCGAGGAGUGGCAUGGUCAUAUUCUCGAACCACCUUCUAUAAUACAGCAAAGCCAGUUUUGCAACCAAGAAUGUUCGGAAGAUAUGGCUGGUUUCAGUCUGACUUGUGAUUAAUGGCGGAUGUCAAUUUGUUUAAGCAUCUUCAAAUUCACCAUCUUAGUGGACGUGGAAUGAACUGGCCACCAGGUCAAAUACUAGUUCAUGCGAAAUAUAUGCCUUUGAAUUCAUGGUGUAGUGCCUAAAAUGUGGCACAAACGAAGACAGUUGAUGGGAAUGACAUAUUUUCACGUCCCUGGAUAUGAUAUCAAACAAUCUGUUCUUUAUAUUCAUCUUCAUGAAAUUAGAAAUUACAAAAUGCAAUCCAUUCACUCAUAACUGUUGAUGUUAAUUUGUCACAAUACGCAUAGAUUUCUCAUAGAUUUAUUAUCAGCGAUGGCCUUCAAAAAAUUUGUAUAUAUUUCUGGAUCACUAAAUGCGCAGAUAUCGCUACUUAUCGACUUCUUUGAUGUUUGGUGCAGUGAUAUUGCUCUCCCCACCAGUCCCCUUAACAAAAUUGCAGGGGAGUCAGGUGGAUGAUAAAAAAACAUUGGGGGUAGUCAGUUUCUUGGCUACUAACAAAAACCACAAACUAGAAUAGAAUUAGUGGUUUGACAAAAACACAGAUUUUCUCUGAAACAGCAAAUUAAGAUCAAUUGUCCAGAAGAAUUAUAGUCCCAAUUGUCAAGGACUUCUCAUUCGAGAGGACAACAGCAGCAGCACAGGUUAUUGAAAACAACAGAAUACUUUAUUGCACCACUGAAAAUUUAGCCCAUAAAAACAAGGAACGUUAACAAGAGGCCUAAACAUGAUGAUCCAUAUGAAGUCAUAUACUAGUAGUACAGCACAAUUCCAAAUCUGAUCUUAGAAGCCAGACAUAAUUAUAAAUCUUUCAACAGUAAAGCUGGGCCUUCCAACUUCAAGCAAUCUUGACCUCAACAACCUUGGGCUUCUUAGGCUCAGGAGGGGGCAAUUUGUGGACGGUGACAGUCAAUACCCCAUCUUGGCAAACAGCAGAAAUUGCAUCGGUAUUGGCGUUCUCCGGCAGCACGAAUUUCCUCAUG
RNAcentral lists this long non-coding RNA (12164 nucleotides) under Coffea arabica (coffee). RNAcentral describes it as "long non-coding RNA (CARA_LNC006095)". Lineage: Eukaryota; Viridiplantae; Streptophyta; Magnoliopsida; Gentianales; Rubiaceae. The record is from RNAcentral.